Molecule: ribosomal RNA, 565 nt
Filed under: Streptomyces sp. 410C11
Lineage: Bacteria; Bacillati; Actinomycetota; Actinomycetes; Kitasatosporales; Streptomycetaceae
Also listed under: 1 other name
Description: bacterial SSU rRNA
Rfam family: Bacterial small subunit ribosomal RNA
Source: RNAcentral
UAGUGGCGAACGGGUGAGUAACACGUGGGCAAUCUGCCCUUCACUCUGGGACAAGCCCUGGAAACGGGGUCUAAUACCGGAUACAACCACUGACCGCAUGGUCGGGUGGUGGAAAGCUCCGGCGGUGAAGGAUGAGCCCGCGGCCUAUCAGCUUGUUGGUGAGGUAAUGGCUCACCAAGGCGACGACGGGUAGCCGGCCUGAGAGGGCGACCGGCCACACUGGGACUGAGACACGGCCCAGACUCCUACGGGAGGCAGCAGUGGGGAAUAUUGCACAAUGGGCGAAAGCCUGAUGCAGCGACGCCGCGUGAGGGAUGACGGCCUUCGGGUUGUAAACCUCUUUCAGCAGGGAAGAAGCGAAAGUGACGGUACCUGCAGAAGAAGCGCCGGCUAACUACGUGCCAGCAGCCGCGGUAAUACGUAGGGCGCAAGCGUUGUCCGGAAUUAUUGGGCGUAAAGAGCUCGUAGGCGGCUUGUCACGUCGAUUGUGAAAGCCCGGGGCUUAACUCCGGGUCUGCAGUCGAUACGGGCUAGCUAGAGUGUGGUAGGGGAGAUCGGAAUUCCU